This 444-nucleotide ribosomal RNA is filed under the name uncultured bacterium. RNAcentral's name for it is "SSU rRNA". It matches the Rfam family "Bacterial small subunit ribosomal RNA", at positions 26 to 518 of the family's 1533-position model. The record is from RNAcentral.
AGAACGAACGCUGGCGGCAGGCUUAACACAUGCAAGUCGAGCGCCCCCGCAAGGGGAGCGGCAGACGGGUGAGUAACGCGUGGGAACAUACCCUCCGGUUCGGAAUAGCUCAGGGAAACUUGGAUUAAUACCGGAUACGGCCUAGCGGCGAAAGGUUGAUCGCCGGAGGAUUGGCCCGCGUCUGAUUAGCUAGUUGGUGGGGUAAUGGCCCACCAAGGCGACGAUCAGUAGCUGGUCUGAGAGGAUGAUCAGCCACAUUGGGACUGAGACACGGCCCAAACUCCUACGGGAGGCAGCAGUGGGGAAUAUGGACAAUGGGCGCAAGCCUGAUCCAGCCAUGCCGCGUGAGUGAUGACGGCCUUAGGGUUGUAAAGCUCUUUCGCUAGGGACGAUAAUGACGGUACCUAGACAAGAAGCCCCGGCUAACUUCGUGCCAGCAGCCGC